CUACAAUAUAAAUCUGGUGCCAUACAGAACUCAUGAAUAGAUUUUUGUUUUCUUCCAGCAAGUGGAUUUCACUGCAGAUGCAUCUGCAUCUCUUGUAAGCAGGAUGGGAUUUCUUGAAUAGCAGUGUCCAAGGCUAUGAUUCUCUACCCUGUGCUACCUUGUGCUCUGGUAGCAAGUCAGAGCAGCUGCAACCCUCCUCAACUUUCUUUUACUUCCCAUGGCCAUGGGACAGAACCUAGUGAAUGUCUGACCUGCUAGUCUUUAGCUCCGGCUAAAAUUCUGUACAGCUUAUCUAUUUCACCUAUAGAAGACCUUGGCAAAUAAAGUGGGUCCGUGCGAGCAGAUUUCUAAAUCAGACUGUCUAGUACACACUAUUUUCCUCAGCUUUAGCCUGCUGACUUCAAGCCCUGUCCUCCAUGAGGUGGAUCAAUCUGCCUUAAGGAUGCACACAGCAAAUGCAUCUUCUCAAGCAAGAGUCAUAUACUGAAUAGAUUCUCAGUACACCAGUAAUCUCCAUUGAGAAUUCAUGAGUUGACUACGGACUGAAUUCACGAGCACUUGUUUUGAGCAAUCUAUGAAGGGGAGACGGGCAUCAGAACUACCAGACAAAGCAACACCUGAGUAUCCCAUCUAGCAAAUAUGAAGAACUUAAAACCCAGAACAAAAAGGUAUCAUAGCACCAGACAAAUGGCUGAUGCCAGGCAGCAAAAUCAGUAUCGCAUUUCCAGCACUGAAGUCUGGCACCAAAAAAAUACACUAAAAAUUGACACCAACCCUAGUUGGAGCUCAGUUGUUACUUUUGUAUAGGAAGAUGCAAAGACCUUCAGGAAGAAAACAUGAACCCCAAAUUGAAUCAAAGGCACAGAGGACCUUCCCUAACAGUGCUCCCCUGGUACAGUCAUCAGCAUCAGCACCUACAACAUAGACAUUUAAUGCUGCUAGAUAUAUCUUUGGAGUGACCUGGAUAGACCUUGGUACAGAGACGGUUACCAGUAGAGAUGGAGACCUCUUCUGAGAGCACUCUCUGUCUCAGCACUGUCCCUACAGGAAAUGGAUUUUUCCUCUCAAACCACUGGGGCACUCAUUCUCUGCUGGACAAUGAUGAGAACCCUCUGCCUUAUGAUCUGUAGGCAAGACUGCAGAAAGGCUAAAUGGCGCAUCUAAUUUCAGGAAGAAAUUGAAGUUGUGUUCCACAGUUAUGUCCCUUGUCAAGGAGCAAUACCAGAUGGAAAGUCGAGAAAUGCUGGAUCUGGGACUUGAGGAGCCUACAGCAGUAACCUGUGUCCCAAACCAGGGGCUUUUUCACCUUUAUCACCUGUAUGAGUAGUAACACUGGCACAAAUGCAGGCACUUAAUUUCUUCAAGUAAUUUCUAGAGCUACUUGUGAGAUUUGCUGAUUCUUUUUCUUAACAGGCAUGAAAUCUAUUUACUCAUUCAAUGUACUGACAAGUUGAAACAGCAUUGCCUCCUAAGGAACAAAUGACUACUUGACCCUGCCAAAAACUGGCUAUGAUAACACCCAUCACAAAGAAAGUAGAGAAGCAACAUGAACUCCUUUAAAAAGGGUUUAAAAUAUCUUGUAUCCAACCCAUCUACCUGUAUGUACAUGCCUGGCUCAUCAGAUGUGUACAUAUUGCACAUCCUCUCCAUGUGCUCCUAGGGAUCAGAGGAUAGUUGAACUUAUCCAUUAUAUACUAGCUCACAAGAGUCAUGAUCAACUCAACCCACAGAAACCUACCUCUAAAAAAA
Gavialis gangeticus (Gharial) is the source of this 1749-nucleotide long non-coding RNA. RefSeq lists it as uncharacterized. The record is from RefSeq and is a predicted model, not a curated record. NCBI's taxonomy places the organism in Eukaryota, Metazoa, Chordata, Crocodylia, Gavialidae. The transcript is spliced from 2 exons.